Molecule: ribosomal RNA, 253 nt
Filed under: uncultured bacterium
Lineage: Bacteria
Description: partial 16S ribosomal RNA
Rfam family: Bacterial small subunit ribosomal RNA
Source: RNAcentral
UACAGAGGGUGCAAGCGUUAAUCGGAGUUAUUGGGCGUAAAGGGUGUGUAGGUGGCACUUCAAGUCGGAUGUGAAAGCCCUGGGCUUAACCUGGGAAUGGCAUUGGAGACUGAAGAGCUUGAGUCGGACAGAGGGUCGUGGAAUUUCCGGUGUAGCGGUGAAAUGCGUAGAGAUCGGAAAGAACACCAGUGGCGAAGGCGGCGACCUGGGUCCAGACUGACACUGAGGCACGAAAGCAUGGGGAGCGAACAGG